GUUUCAUGAUAUUCUAUUUAUUCAUUUAUUGAAUUAUAUAAAAGAGUGGAGAAAAGAUUAUGUGAAUCUAAGUUUGAAACCAACACAAUCACAAUGUAUGUAUUACAAGGUGAAUGACUAAAGCUUCUACGAACACCUUUGAAGUCCUCAUGUCUGUAAAUCAAAAGUCUACAACUUGGAAGCAUCUCUGAGUUUUUAUCUAGAGCUCUGCAAUCACCAUAAAAGUCAUUCCUACUUCAACCACUUUGAAUUAAAAGAGAAUGGUAGGGAUAACCGAAAAAUGAAAGGGUGACUCUACUUCAACCACUUUGUUAGCACAUUCUUGCUUGAAGAUUAUAUGUGCUCCUUUGUAAAAUGAAAGGGUGACUCUAUAACAUCAUAAUAUCACUGCUCCACUAGAGCAUGGAGCAUUAUCAUCCAAGUG
Lupinus albus (white lupine) is the source of this 424-nucleotide non-coding RNA. The record is from the annotation of a GenBank genome assembly. Lineage: Eukaryota; Viridiplantae; Streptophyta; Magnoliopsida; Fabales; Fabaceae.